GACGAACGCUGGCGGCGUGCUUAACACAUGCAAGUCGAACGGAAAGGCCCGGCUUUUGUGGGGUGCUCGAGUGGCGAACGGGUGAGUAACACGUGAGUAACCUGCCCUUGACUUUGGGAUAACUUCAGGAAACUGGGGCUAAUACCGGAUAGGAGCUCCUGCUGCAUGGUGGGGGUUGGAAAGUUUCGGCGGUUGGGGAUGGACUCGCGGCCUAUCAGCUUGUUGGUGGGGUAGUGGCUUACCAAGGCUUUGACGGGUAGCCGGCCUGAGAGGGUGACCGGCCACAUUGGGACUGAGAUACGGCCCAGACUCCUACGGGAGGCAGCAGUGGGGAAUAUUGCACAAUGGGCGGAAGCCUGAUGCAGCAACGCCGCGUGCGGGAUGACGGCCUUCGGGUUGUAAACCGCUUUCGCCUGUGACGAAGCGUGAGUGACGGUAAUGGGUAAAGAAGCACCGGCUAACUACGUG
Molecule: ribosomal RNA, 468 nt
Filed under: uncultured bacterium
Lineage: Bacteria
Description: partial 16S ribosomal RNA
Rfam family: Bacterial small subunit ribosomal RNA
Source: RNAcentral